UUUUUGGCUCACAAGGGCAUUUUCAUCAUUUUUCUUCGAAAAUACCGAAACUCGCCAAAAACAUGGUGUAAAAGCUAAAUAUAUUCAUACAUACUUUAAAUCAAAUAACUGAAGAAUAAAAUUACUUUUACAGUGACACGUGGGCCCCCAACUGACUAAGAAGAUGUAGGGCUACGAACCCUUACUUUCUAAGAUGCAACUCCGAGAUUAAUUCUUGUCUUAAUCAACUAUCAACAAAUUGUCCUGAGCCUGAAAAAUAGAUAGGAAGAGGGGUGAGAUUAUGAUUACAUAAUCCCAGUGAAUAAACAAUUACCAUCAAAAGCAUCUAAAGCCGAAUAGAUGGAGACAAUAUAAAAACGUUAUAUCUCAAUAAUGUUCAUAACACAAAAUAAGUUUCAAUCUAUACCAAAUAAUUUCUUUUCAUCAAAAUUUCCCGGCUUAUGAAUUUCUUAAACUUGGCCCCUACCAGAAUCAUUCUCGCGGGUACCUUCGUUAAGGUAUCCCACUGAGACCGUUAAGGCUGUUCAAUGACCCAUACCCAUAAACAUGUUUUCAUAUCUAACACACAGCCGUUUCUUGGCGUUGGCUGAGUCUCACUCUCACGUGGUGGCCCGAACGUGAGGUGCACUCAAAUCAUAACUCAGGAGAUACUUCACUCAACAUCUCCCCACUGAGGUAAAUAUAUAAUUGAGUUACCGUGCUCCUCUCAUAAGCAGUCCACAGAAACCCCCACCACAACAUAGACCGUUUAACAUACCACCAGACCCAUAAAAUUUUCAGUAGCAUAAUAUGGCGAAUAAAAUUUAAUCCAGUCUAUCGAGACCAAUCCAAAACUGUUCAUAUAUUUCAUGCCAACUCCAAAAAUUUAGCCAUCAUGCUACCAUAGUGUCAUAAGCCACAAUUUCAAUAACAUAUAAAAUCAUAAAUUUCAACACAGUCUCCAUAUACUCAAUUUUCCCAAAACAAUAUUAGAUUUCAAAACCAGUAUAAAUCUCAUUUUUAUUAAAAAACAUUUUAAUUGGAAAACAUAAUAUUUUAUAAUUUAAAUUCACCAUUCAAUAAAAGCAUCAAACAAGUAUAAUUACUCUAGAUAUUUAAGACGAUAAAUUGUCCACUCACAGUUCUAGGAGUCGAUGUACUCCUAAUCCCAGUCUUCAAGCACAAUUUCUGUACUUUUACCAGUGUAAUUUGCUCACCACCUAUCCACAAUGUACAAUACAUAAUUCACCACAUCAAUGCUUGACCAUUAUAAAAUCAAUUCAGGCUCGGUAUAUAUGCAUAAUAUGACAUGCAACUUAUCCGACUACUGCUUAAAUGCGGUGCUAACUUAAUUCGGCCUAUUACCCGAUUAAAUUACUAACGCGUCCAAUUUAAUCUCAAAUUAAUUUUUUUCAGUUUCUAUACCUCAAUUGCACCCAAAUUGACUUAAUGUUCCUCAGUGUGGUGCAAAUUAUCAGUCCCGGUAGCAUAUUAUGAAAAUACCCCUAAUGGGUAAAAAUUCGUAUUUUUGCUUCGAAAAUUCUCAUUAUUUUUCUAGACUCAUAAUUCAUCAUUAUUUAUCAUAAUUCCUCAAAUAAACAUCAAGAUCAUCAGCCAAUAUUUCCCUAGAAAAUUCAGCCAAUAAUGGUAAUGGAGGAAAAUAAAUUCUUUUCUUGUUGUUUUGUUCCUAAAUAUGCUAAACUAACUUAAAACACUAACAUAACUUAAAAUCAAAUUAAUCUAACAAGUUUCUCUCUCCUAACCCAUUUUUUCAAAAUUGAAUUCAUCCUCAAAUCACAUGAUUCAACCAUGGAAAAUGAUGGGAAAUGCAUGGAAAUGAUAAAUCUUAAGCUAAACUUGAAAAAUCAUACCUUUAAACACUUAAUUCCUUGAAAAAUCACACUUUUUCUUUGAAUUUUCUCACUCUAGGGUUUGUUCUUAUUUCUCUCUCUCUCCUGCUGGUUUUG
This 1946-nucleotide long non-coding RNA is filed under the name Theobroma cacao (cacao). Its description in RNAcentral is "long non-coding RNA (TCAC_LNC002020)". Lineage: Eukaryota; Viridiplantae; Streptophyta; Magnoliopsida; Malvales; Malvaceae. The record is from RNAcentral.